RNAcentral lists this ribosomal RNA (1026 nucleotides) under uncultured bacterium. RNAcentral describes it as "bacterial SSU rRNA". It matches the Rfam family "Bacterial small subunit ribosomal RNA", at positions 28 to 1053 of the family's 1533-position model. The record is from RNAcentral.
GAUGAACGCUGGCGGCGUGCCUAACACAUGCAAGUCGAACGAAGCAUUUCAGAUGAAGUUUUCGGAUGGAUUCUGAGAUGACUGAGUGGCGGACGGGUGAGUAACACGUGGAUAACCUGCCUCACACUGGGGGACAACAGUUAGAAAUGACUGCUAAUACCGCAUAAGCGCACAGUACCGCAUGGUACGGUGUGAAAAACUCCGGUGGUGUGAGAUGGAUCCGCGUCUGAUUAGCCAGUUGGCGGGGUAACGGCCCACCAAAGCGACGAUCAGUAGCCGACCUGAGAGGGUGACCGGCCACAUUGGGACUGAGACACGGCCCAAACUCCUACGGGAGGCAGCAGUGGGGAAUAUUGCACAAUGGGCGAAAGCCUGAUGCAGCGACGCCGCGUGAGUGAAGAAGUAUUUCGGUAUGUAAAGCUCUAUCAGCAGGGAAGAUAAUGACGGUACCUGACUAAGAAGCCCCGGCUAACUACGUGCCAGCAGCCGCGGUAAUACGUAGGGGGCGAGCGUUAUCCGGAUUUACUGGGUGUAAAGGGAGCGUAGACGGCAUGGCAAGUCUGAAGUGAAAACCCAGGGCUCAACCCUGGGACUGCUUUGGAAACUGUCAAGCUAGAGUGCAGGAGAGGUAAGUGGAAUUCCUAGUGUAGCGGUGAAAUGCGUAGAUAUUAGGAGGAACACCAGUGGCGAAGGCGGCUUACUGGACUGUAACUGACGUUGAGGCUCGAAAGCGUGGGGAGCAAACAGGAUUAGAUACCCUGGNAGUCCACGCCGUAAACGAUGAGUGCUAGGUGUUGGGGGGCAAAGCCCUUCGGUGCCGUCGCAAACGCAAUAAGCACUCCACCUGGGGAGUACGUUCGCAAGAACGAAACUCAAAGGAAUUGACGGGGACCCGCACAAGCGGUGGAGCAUGGUGGUUUAAUUUCGAAGCAACGCGAAGAACCUUACCAAGUCUUGACAUCCUCUGACCGGCGUGUAACGGCGCUUUCUUCGGGACAGAAGAGACAAGGUGGGUGCAUGGUUGUC